This 489-nucleotide ribosomal RNA is filed under the name Streptococcus anginosus. RNAcentral describes it as "bacterial SSU rRNA". It matches the Rfam family "Bacterial small subunit ribosomal RNA", at positions 28 to 493 of the family's 1533-position model. The record is from RNAcentral. Lineage: Bacteria; Bacillati; Bacillota; Bacilli; Lactobacillales; Streptococcaceae.
GACGAACGCUGGCGGCGUGCCUAAUACAUGCAAGUAGGACGCACAGUUUAUACCGUAGCUUGCUACACCAUAGACUGUGAGUUGCGAACGGGUGAGUAACGCGUAGGUAACCUACCUAUUAGAGGGGGAUAACUAUUGGAAACGAUAGCUAAUACCGCAUAACAGUAUGUAACACAUGUUAGAUGCUUGAAAGAUGCAAUUGCAUCGCUAGUAGAUGGACCUGCGUUGUAUUAGCUAGUAGGUAGGGUAAAGGCCUACCUAGGCAACGAUACAUAGCCGACCUGAGAGGGUGAUCGGCCACACUGGGACUGAGACACGGCCCAGACUCCUACGGGAGGCAGCAGUAGGGAAUCUUCGGCAAUGGGGGGAACCCUGACCGAGCAACGCCGCGUGAGUGAAGAAGGUUUUCGGAUCGUAAAGCUCUGUUGUUAAGGAAGAACGAGUGUGAGAAUGGAAAGUUCAUGCUGUGACGGACUAACCAGAAAGGAC